Molecule: long non-coding RNA, 1572 nt
Organism: Phalaenopsis equestris
Lineage: Eukaryota; Viridiplantae; Streptophyta; Magnoliopsida; Asparagales; Orchidaceae
Exons: 5
Source: RefSeq, a predicted model, not a curated record
CCUAACCCGUGUUCGGCUGUUCGGCACUUCGAACUCCUUUCCCCUCUCGAAAGCCUUCGGUUUCCGCUGACUCUCCCUCUUUUUCUUUCAAAAUCGCGAAGAGCUUGGGGUUGGUUGUUUGUGAGGAGCUUGAGAUGAACCGAAGUGUUUUGUUCGCUAUAUUGAGUAGCUUGGACCUGAAAUGGCUUAUUCAUAGUGAAGUUUGACAGAGAAGUAUUUAGUUUUUUUUUUAAUUUUAUGUGGCAAGAGUUAGCUUAAAUGAGAUAAUAUUUGUGAUCAAACUGUAAGUAUCAUUAAUACGAUAUUCCGUUUCGUAUAUAAAUAAAGAGGAAAAUUCUGAAAAACUUGUUUAGAAUACAGAGCUGAAGAUGAAUAUUUUGCAUAACUUUCAUGAUUAUAAUCUAUCCUCUGUCUCACUUCCUGAAUACUUCCAUUUCCUGCAAACUUCAUUUUUUUAGUGAAAUUAAAAUCUUGGAAGAAAUGAGGUAAUUAAUUAUGCAAUUUGCUAAAUUAGUUUUAUGUAUUUAGUUUGACAGAGAAGUAAUUAGUUUUUUUUUAAAUAUCAUUCAUUUUAUUGGUUAAUUUCCAAUGGAAUUGAUCUUAUCAGUCCAAUUUUAUUUAUCAUAGAUUAAGAAUCUUUUUCAAGAUGUCAGUUUGCUUCAAAACAAUUCUAUGGAUUUGGUGGUUCCGCACCUCCAAACACUUUUAAUGAUGAUGAAAGGGCAUGUUACAUUGAUUCUUUAGUUGAAGUUAUUGAAUGGAGUUUUGUUUAUACUGUUAACUUUAUGGAAUAUUUACAUACAUGCCGGUGUGCCACUUAAUUCCUAUAUAUUUACUAUCUAACAUUUAAAUCACAAUUUUUACAUAUGUCACCUUUCUUAUACUGUUAACAAUUGUAAUGGCAAAAAUUUAUUUAUUAGACAUGUGUAUACAUAGGAAUUAAGUGGGUAUGUGUGUAUCUUCCUUUUUUAUUGUAUGUUUUAAAUUUUACCAAACUGGCAUAUACUGGUAAAGCAUGUAUUUUCCUGGAUCAGGAUACAUGAAGGAAAGGAGUAGCGUUGCUGUUAUAGGACUGAGCGUUCAUACUGCGCCUGUGGAGAUGCGAGAAAAGCUUGCUGUUCCUGAAGCUCAGUGGCCCCCGCACCAUUGGAGAGCUAUGCAACCUGAACCAUAUAGAGGAAGCGGCUGUUCUUAGCACCUGCAAGGCUGCAAUCGAAUAGAGAUUUUGAGAAAAGAUAAUUAAUAGAGCAGAGCAUGUUUAUAAAAGCACGAGCAACCAAAAUAAGGUUGGGAUUUUCCAUGAAGAAAUGGGAGAGACUGGGUUCAAGCAAAAACAUAUUUCUUUUAAGUAAAAAGAUUAUCCUUUUUACAGUCUUUUCCACAUUUACAAAUUGCUUUCAGUUGUGUUCUAGAUCAGUUGUACCAUAAGAAGUUGUUCUGGGAUUUGACAGAAGAAGAAUUUAACAUUGCUCGAAAACUCUUAUAGGAAAAUGACAUCAUAAUUUCUUGCAAGCAUUGCAUGUUGAUUUCUGAAGUUACAAUUGAUAUGCAAUUUACAGAUUUAUUGACGAA